GACGAACGCUGGCGGCGUGCUUAACACAUGCAAGUCGAACGAUGACGACCGACUUUGCUCGGUGUGAUUAGUGGCGAAGGGGUGUGUAACACGUGAGCAAUCUGCUCUUCACUCUGGGAAAACCGCGGGAAAGCGGGGCUAAUACCGUAUAUGAGCUCCCGUCGUAUGGCGGUGGUUGGAAAGUUUGUCGGUGAUGGAUGGGCUCGCGGCCUAUCUGUUUGUUGGUGAGGUAGGGGCUCACCAAGGCGAUGACGGGUAGCCGGCCUGAGAGGGCGACCGGCCACACUGGGACUGAGACACGGCCCAGACUCCUACGGGAGGCAGCAGUGGGGAAUAUUGCACAAUGGGCGCAAGCCUGAUGCAGCGACGCCGCGUGAGGGAUGACGGCCUUCGGGUUGUAAACCUCUUUCAGCAGGGAAGAAGCGAAAGUGACGGUACCUGCAGAAGAAGCGCCGGCUAACUACGUG
RNAcentral lists this ribosomal RNA (467 nucleotides) under uncultured bacterium. RNAcentral describes it as "partial 16S ribosomal RNA". It matches the Rfam family "Bacterial small subunit ribosomal RNA", at positions 28 to 507 of the family's 1533-position model. The record is from RNAcentral.